CUGGAAUCAUCAUAUCAAUCAUAUUAUCUGCUAUUAAAUCAUCCGUUAGUGGCUGAUCACUUGCAUUGUUCAUCAUCAACACAUCGAUAACAUCUUUAGGUACAUUCAUAUUAGACAUGCCACCAUCCCUCUUAGAUUGAAUAAUCUCUUGUAUCAACCUAGCCAUCUUCUUCUUUGCCUGAAAAUCAAAAUAAAAAUUUUCAACCCAUAUGCGUGCAUAUGGCCGUCCAUAUUAGUUAAUUUAAUUUCCAUUUAAUUUGACUUGCCUGUAAUGACCUAUAAAGUUGGCUACCAGGAAUAUUAAUAGGUAAAGACAUGAGGCCAGAGAUAAAUUCUUGGAACUGUUUUUUGAGAAUCUCCAUUUGUUCACCUGGAUCCAAGUUAAUCAAUGCUUU
RNAcentral lists this long non-coding RNA (395 nucleotides) under Citrus maxima (pomelo). Its description in RNAcentral is "long non-coding RNA (CMAX_LNC000084)". The record is from RNAcentral. Lineage: Eukaryota; Viridiplantae; Streptophyta; Magnoliopsida; Sapindales; Rutaceae.